RNAcentral lists this ribosomal RNA (117 nucleotides) under Periophthalmus magnuspinnatus. The record is from RNAcentral. Lineage: Eukaryota; Metazoa; Chordata; Actinopteri; Gobiiformes; Gobiidae.
GUAUUUAGCCAUUACAGCUUGUCAAAGCCUGAUAUCGUCAGAUCUCAGAGGCUAAGCAAGGCUGGGCCUGGUUAGUACUUGGAUGGGAGACCUAUGGGAAUAUGAGGUGCCACAACG